AGAUUAGCUAGUUGGUGGGGUAAAGGCCUACCAAGGCUACGAUCUGUAGCGGGUCUGAGGGGAUGAUCCGCCACACUGGAACUGAGACACGGUCCAGACUCCUACGGGAGGCAGCAGUGGGGAAUUUUGGACAAUGGGGGCAACCCUGAUCCAGCCAUGCCGCGUGAGUGAAGAAGGCCUUCGGGUUGUAAAGCUCUUUCGGCCGGGAAGAAAUCGCAUAGGCUAAUACCCUGUGUGGAUGACGGUACCGGAAUAAGAAGCACCGGCUAACUACGUGCCAGCAGCCGCGGUAAUACGUAGGGUGCGAGCGUUAAUCGGAAUUACUGGGCGUAAAGCGUGCGCAGGCGGUUUAGUAAGACAGGCGUGAAAUCCCCGGGCUCAACCUGGGAACUGCGCUUGUGACUGCUAAGCUAGAGUACGGCAGAGGGGGGUGGAAUUCCACGUGUAGCAGUGAAAUGCGUAGAGAUGUGGAGGAACACCGAUGGCGAAGGCAGCCCCCUGGGCCGAUACUGACGCUCAUGCACGAAAGCGUGGGUAGCAAACAGGAUUAGAUACCCUGGUAGUCCACGCCCUAAACGAUGUCAACUAGGUGUUGGGAGGGUAAAACCUUUUAGUACCGGAGCUAACGCGUGAAGUUGACCGCCUGGGGAGUACGGCCGCAAGGUUAAAACUCAAAGGAAUUGACGGGGACCCGCACAAGCGGUGGAUGAUGUGGAUUAAUUCGAUGCAACGCGAAAAACCUUACCUACCCUUGACAUGUCCAGAAGCUCUUAGAGAUUUGAGUGUGCCCGAAAGGGAGCUGGAACACAGGUGCUGCAUGGCUGUCGUCAGCUCGUGUCGUGAGAUGUUGGGUUAAGUCCCGCAACGAGCGCAACCCUUGUCGUUAAUUGCCAUCAUUUAGUUGGGCACUUUAACGAGACUGCCGGUGACAAACCGGAGGAAGGUGGGGAUGACGUCAAGUCCUCAUGGCCCUUAUGGGUAGGGCUUCACACGUCAUACAAUGGUCGGUACAGAGGGUUGCCAAGCCGCGAGGUGGAGCCAAUCCCAGAAAGCCGAUCGUAGUCCGGAUUGCAGGCCGCAACUCGCCUGCAUGAAGUCGGAAUCGCUAGUAAUCGCGGAUCAGCAUGUCGCGGUGAAUACGUUCCCGGGUCUUGUACACACCGCCCGUCACACCAUGGGAGCGGGUUCCGCCAGAAGUAGGUAGCCUAACCGCAAGGGGGGCGCUUACCACGGCGGGGUUCGUGACUGGGGUGAAGUCGGAACAAGGUAGCCGUAGGGGUACCUGCGGCUG
RNAcentral lists this ribosomal RNA (1291 nucleotides) under metagenome. Its description in RNAcentral is "bacterial SSU rRNA". It matches the Rfam family "Bacterial small subunit ribosomal RNA", at positions 238 to 1520 of the family's 1533-position model. The record is from RNAcentral.